AAGAUUUCUUACUGGAGAUCUCUCUUUUGUGGAGUAUUUCUGUGAGCCUGAAUCUCUGGAGGUGAGAAAGCAUCUCUUCAACUCAGUUGGGGUUGGCUGGGAAAUGGGAAAGAAAAAGAAAGAAACACAGCAACAACAACAACAAAGUGUAACACACGACAAAAGGAAUCUAGCAGAGCUACGAGAUGUGGAGAGUCUGAAUUUGCAAGACUGAUGUUCUGAAAUCACCCAGGGAAAAGAUCAAGACUGUUUUUUUUCUCCGUGAUGGUGGAGAUGGAUGGUACUGCCCUUGCAAGCAGAGAGGAAAAAUUGCUUCCCAAGGUAAUGAGAAUAGGAACUAGAUGCUGCAUCAGGGACAGUCUUUCUGCUACUGGUUAUGCUACACAGAUGCGGGAGGGGAAAUCACCUGAAUGGAAUAUGGAACCAAGCAUUGCCCUCACGCAAGGAGCGUUCUGUGACUGUGUCCCUUUUCUGACCACAUUGCCUCUCCAUUGUCAUCCAGGUUUUCUGAAACGAAAUAGGGAGGCUUAAGAAUGCCACUGAAAGAACACGGGGCCUGUGGCUGUUGGCAGUUUUUGUGUGAUUGGAGUCUGUAUUUGUGAGCAUGAAGUUGCAAGCACAGAGAUCAUGAGAUUUUAGACAUGGGCUCUUCCCCUCAUCUGUCAAGCUGAGGAAGUCAUUCUGUGACAGCUGAGAGAAGCCACCUCAAAGAAGAUUGCUCACAUGAUAUUAUAUAUAUUAAUUUUAUGGUUAUAAUCUUUUGCUGUACUUGCAUACACUGCAGGUCCACUAGCAGGGAUUUCUACUCUUCUUGACUUAAAUCAUCAGUCAUCUUGAAGCUGUACAACAGUAACUCAUGCAACAAUAAGAGUAGCCACUAGGCUCCAUAAUGGCAUUGUUCUCUUAGGAAACAUGUACUGAUUUUUGACUUUCUCAGAUUGCUGCUUCAUGAUAAUGAGAAUGCAAACCAGAGCACACUUUGAAUGGAAUGAAAAUGUUGAGAAGGUUAAAAAAAGUGUGCUGCCAUUCAGUUGAUGUCAUAUGUUAGAGGAGGAAGAGUGAACAGCCUUUGCAAAUGCAGCCAGUAAUGUAGAUAAAUAACAGAUGCAGCUAGUGACCUGAAUGCAUUUAGAGAAUUCCAGCUGCUCCACUCAAUGUUUAAUAGGCUAGAAGUUACAAUUUAUUGUUACAUAAAUAUUCGAUAUAUUCCUACAGCCCUGACGCGUAGGUGAAAACAACAAUCAGCAUAAAGAGGAACAUAAAUUUUUAUUAUAGGCUUCACUUUAGCAACAGAUGCUCAGUGAAAAGACUGAAAGUUAAGGUAAAAAUGAUUACUCCGGGAAACUUAUCAAUCACAAGAAAUGCUAUGAAAGUGGCUUCAUAUAUACAGGGAUUUUAGUUUAGGAGGCUUUUUUUUUUUCUUCUUCAGGUUAUGGCAAGAAAGAGUCAGUAGUACACUUAAUAAAUGCAAAUGUCUUGUGGUAUAUAGAGAAAGCUGAAGUCUGAGAUGAGAGAAUUUUAAUUCUUCCUGCAUUGUAGUUAAACUUCUUUCUGAAAUCUUCCAAAACUCUCCUGCAUUAUGCAACUUCACAAGAAUCUGUGCUCAUGCUUAGCAGUCUAAGAAGUAAUAAUGGUAUUUUCAUUAAUCAUAAAUUUAGCAUGGUAACAAAUUUGUUUUGAGAAAUGCAUGUUCGAGUAAUAAAGUGUUUCCAUUCAGCAAUUCCCAAUCCAGUUCAAGUAGGAAGAGAAUGAACUUCACUUUUGAUACAUACCCUUUUCUUUGAUAUGUGCGUACUUCAGAUGGCCUUUAUUAAUUCCAUUAGAAGUAGAGUUAGGAAAGAGUAACCUAUGGUAACUAAAGUGUUUUAUCAUUUAUUAACAAUGGAACUCAUUUAAAAAUGAGCUAAUUAGUAGGAGUAAGAUGUUGAUAUUCACUGAAAAAUGAUAUGAGCACUAUAAAAGAAAUUAUCUAAGUACUAGCUUAUGUUAACCUCCUCUUCCUCAAUUUAACUUGAUUUCUGAGAGCUGAGCUCUUUUCUUAUUAAGUUUUAUCAAUCCGUUGUCUGGAUGCCACUCAGUUGUUUUUAUAUGAAUAAACUGCUCAAUCAAUCAGUAAUUAUUCUUUCCACACGAAAAGCUACAGUAGGGUGGUAAGGUGAAGAGGUGGUGAAUGAGAGUGUAAAAAUAAUUAAGUGGGUUUUAUGUUGAGCUGUGUACAAUUAAUAUUCAUUCUACUAUUUUUGUUGCCAUUAGCAUUAGUAUUAUUUAAUCAGUAGAAACCUAAACUCAUUUCAUUGGUGAUUUUCUAGACUUUGUUUUUUUCCAUAUACAAGAUAUUUUAAAAAUGUGUGUAAACACAGAAAAAGGUAUAAACCUACUUUAAAAUCUCCCUGACUCGUGUCCUAAAAUUUGUUUAGCAAAGGUAUUGUUAUAAACAGUAUGGACUAUAGUGAGAUUGUGAAAGCUGUUGAUUUUUCUUGAUUUUGCAUUGUUGAAAGCUUUCUUGACUUUGCAUUUGUUGAAAGCAAACAAACAAUCAAAAAAACUACAUUGGUUUAUUUCAUUUCCUUCUUUCCAUAGCACUUUUAGUUCAAAUUCCUUUUUUCCACACAUCAGGUGUUGACAUCCUGCUUGUCCAAUAUGUAGUAUUAACAUGGAACAGUCAUGCCUACUAGGGAAAGUUCCUGUUUCUGCUUAUUAAUUCUAGAGAUAAUGGACAUACUUACAGAAGAAUUCAUGUGUGUAAUUGAAUUUCUCCAUGCAGAAAAAAUGGCACCCAUUGACAGUCAUCAAAAUUUGCUGAAUGCUUACAGAGACCAAACUGAGGAUGUGUGCAUAGUUAGGUGAUGGGUGGUGCACUUCAGCUGCAACACCAUCUUAGCAAGUAUGAAACAGUGGGUCAUCUCCACUGAUGCAGAUUUUUAAGAGCAUGGCACGCAGGCUCUUGUUCAUCACUGGUGUAAACGCAUGGCAAAUGGUAGUGACUAUAUUGAAAAGUAGAAUUUUAUAGCUGAUAAUUUGCUGUAUCAAAUAGCAUUAGUGGGAUCUUUGUAUCUGAUGUAGUUUCUAUGUAAAUAAGGAGGCAUUACUUUCUGAGAAACCUACAGACACACCUUUCCUUAAUGUGUAUUUGCAAAUCGAAUGCCAAUUUGUCAGACUGCCCCUCUUCUGCCAUCUGUUGUGCAGCAACAAAAUAUUGGCAAGA
Meleagris gallopavo (turkey) is the source of this 3205-nucleotide non-coding RNA. Lineage: Eukaryota; Metazoa; Chordata; Aves; Galliformes; Phasianidae. The record is from RefSeq and is a predicted model, not a curated record.